GUUGUGGCUCAGUGGUAGAGCACUUGUUUAGCAGGCAUGAGGCACUGGGUUCACUGGGUUCGAUUCCCAGCAAC
This 74-nucleotide transfer RNA is filed under the name Ictidomys tridecemlineatus (thirteen-lined ground squirrel). Its description in RNAcentral is "Spermophilus tridecemlineatus (thirteen-lined ground squirrel) tRNA". It matches the Rfam family "tRNA". From Rfam's summary of the family: Transfer RNA (tRNA) molecules are approximately 80 nucleotides in length. Their secondary structure includes four short double-helical elements and three loops (D, anti-codon, and T loops). Further hydrogen bonds mediate the characteristic L-shaped molecular structure. tRNAs have two regions of fundamental functional importance: the anti-codon, which is responsible for specific mRNA codon recognition, and the 3' end, to which the tRNAs corresponding amino acid is attached (by aminoacyl-tRNA synthetases). tRNAs cope with the degeneracy of the genetic code in two manners: having more than one tRNA (with a specific anti-codon) for a particular amino acid; and 'wobble' base-pairing, i.e. permitting non-standard base-pairing at the 3rd anti-codon position. Lineage: Eukaryota; Metazoa; Chordata; Mammalia; Rodentia; Sciuridae. The record is from Rfam by way of RNAcentral.